AGAAUCAACGCUGGCGGCGUGCCUAACACAUGCAAGUCGAACGAGAAAGGGGAGCAAUCCCUGAGUAAAGUGGCGCACGGGUGAGUAACACGUGACUAACCUACCCUGGAGUGGGGGAUAACUGAGGGAAACCUUAGCUAAUACCGCAUAACACCUACGGGUCAAAGGAGCAAUUCGCUUUGGGAGGGGGUCGCGGCCGAUUAGUUAGUUGGCGGGGUAAUGGCCCACCAAGACAGUGAUCGGUAUCCGGCCUGAGAGGGCGCACGGACACACUGGAACUGAAACACGGUCCAGACUCCUACGGGAGGCAGCAGUGGGGAAUUUUGCGCAAUGGGGAAACCCUGACGCAGCAACGCCGCGUGGAGGAUGAAGUACUUCGGUACGUAAACUCCUUUCGAUCGGGACGAUAAUGACGGUACCGGAAGAAGAAGCCCCGGCUAACUUCGCGCCAGCAGCCGC
This 459-nucleotide ribosomal RNA is filed under the name uncultured bacterium. Its description in RNAcentral is "SSU rRNA". It matches the Rfam family "Bacterial small subunit ribosomal RNA", at positions 26 to 518 of the family's 1533-position model. The record is from RNAcentral.